CAGUAGCCACGGUAAUACAGAGGAUGCAAGCGUUAUCCGGAAUGAUUGGGCGUAAAGCGUCUGUAGGUGGCUUUUCAAGUCCGCCGUCAAAUCCCAGGGCUCAACCCUGGACAGGCGGUGGAAACUACCAAGCUAGAGUACGGUAGGGGCAGAGGGAAUUUCCGGUGGAGCGGUGAAAUGCGUUGAGAUCGAAAAGAACACCAACGACGAAAGCACUCUGCUGGGUCGACACUGACACUGAGAGACGAAAGCUAGGGGAGCAAAUGGGAUUAGAGACCCCAGUAGUCCCUGUCUCUUAUAC
This 301-nucleotide ribosomal RNA is filed under the name uncultured bacterium. RNAcentral describes it as "partial 16S ribosomal RNA". It matches the Rfam family "Bacterial small subunit ribosomal RNA", at positions 509 to 807 of the family's 1533-position model. The record is from RNAcentral.